UAGUCCACGCCGUAAACGAUGUCAACUAGCCGUUGGGAGCAUAUAAGCUCUGAGUGGCGCAGCUAACGCGAUAAGUUGACCGCCUGGGGAGUACGCCGGCAACGGCAAAACUCAAAGGAAUUGACGGGGGCCCGCACAAGCGGUGGAGCAUGUGGUUUAAUUCGAUGCAACGCGAAAAACCUUACCUACCCUUGACAUCCUGAUCGCGGAUAGUGGAGACACUUUCCUUCAGUUCGGCUGGAUCAGUGACAGGUGCUGCAUGGCUGUCGUCAGCUCGUGUCGUGAGAUGUUGGGUUAAGUCCCGCAACGAGCGCAACCCUCGCCUUUAGUUGCCAGCAUUUAGUUGGGCACUCUAAAGGGGACUGCCGGUGAUAAGCCGGAGGAAGGUGGGGAUGACGUCAAGUCCUCAUGGCCCUUACGGGUCGGGCUACACACGUGCUACAAUGGCAAUGACAGAGGGCAGCUAGACCGCGAGGUCAUGCUAAUCCCUAAAAGUU
RNAcentral lists this ribosomal RNA (497 nucleotides) under uncultured bacterium. Its description in RNAcentral is "bacterial SSU rRNA". It matches the Rfam family "Bacterial small subunit ribosomal RNA", at positions 791 to 1284 of the family's 1533-position model. The record is from RNAcentral.